Molecule: transfer RNA, 76 nt
Filed under: Deltaproteobacteria bacterium
Lineage: Bacteria; Pseudomonadati; Myxococcota; Myxococcia
Description: tRNA-Thr
Source: RNAcentral
GCCGCUCGGGUCGUCGAGGGACGACGCCUUCUUGGUACGAAGGAGAGGACGGGUUCGACUCCCGUGAGCGGCUCCA